This 212-nucleotide long non-coding RNA is filed under the name Elaeis guineensis (African oil palm). RNAcentral's name for it is "long non-coding RNA (EGUI_LNC074828)". Lineage: Eukaryota; Viridiplantae; Streptophyta; Magnoliopsida; Arecales; Arecaceae. The record is from RNAcentral.
CCGAGUUGGUAUUCGGACAUGAUGUCGAUUCAUUAGCUUAACCUACAGGAGUCGACUGCUGAGGAGAUAUCGACAGCCAUGAGUGAGAGUUACCAAGUGAUAGUCGACGGGCUUUUAUUUGCUCAAGAUGCGAAAGGACAAUAGAACGGAUAUCGAGGUUCGAUCGAUGAUAGAGUGACAGUGAUUACGAUCCACUAGGGGUCGAUGAGGGC